GCCCGUGUGAUGGAACUGGUAGACGUAGGAGACUCAAAAUCUCCCGGCAGCGAUGCCGUGUCGGUUCGAGCCCGACCAUGGGCACCA
RNAcentral lists this transfer RNA (87 nucleotides) under Erysipelotrichaceae bacterium. Its description in RNAcentral is "tRNA-Leu". It matches the Rfam family "tRNA". From Rfam's summary of the family: Transfer RNA (tRNA) molecules are approximately 80 nucleotides in length. Their secondary structure includes four short double-helical elements and three loops (D, anti-codon, and T loops). The record is from RNAcentral. Lineage: Bacteria; Bacillati; Bacillota; Erysipelotrichia; Erysipelotrichales; Erysipelotrichaceae. RNAcentral also lists the same sequence under 2 other names.